GAGCACCUCAUAGCCAUGGGAUCUCCAACUGCAUGCCAGAGUAACGGAGAGACUUUGACAGCCCGGGUUAUCACAGUGCCUGCUGUUGCCACUCAGCUCUCCUAUAUGU
Molecule: small nucleolar RNA, 109 nt
Organism: Rattus norvegicus (Norway rat)
Lineage: Eukaryota; Metazoa; Chordata; Mammalia; Rodentia; Muridae
Product: small nucleolar RNA SNORA44
Source: Ensembl